Astyanax mexicanus (Mexican tetra) is the source of this 1453-nucleotide non-coding RNA. The record is from the annotation of a RefSeq genome assembly. Lineage: Eukaryota; Metazoa; Chordata; Actinopteri; Characiformes; Acestrorhamphidae.
AUCAGCACACUGUCAUGCUGGUGUACUAAAGAGCUGAAAGUCAGUGUGUUCUUCUCCCAGUGUGUGCUACACCACCAUGAUCAUUUUCACUGUACUGCUGCUCUCUGCUCUUACAGGUAACAGAGCUGAAGACGUCAUCACUCCUAGCAGAGACGCUGUUUUUGCUGUUGAAGGUCAGAAUGUUUCUCUCUCCUGUAACUACACUGUAACUGGAGCUGUAAACAGUUAUGCUUUUCACUGGUAUCGACAGUAUUCAGGAUCUCCCCAGUUCCUCAUACUGGACUAUGCAGGGGUCAUUACUGAAGCUAAACCUCCAGUUCCUAGAAUAUCCAUCAACCAUCAAAAAGAAAAGAGGAAAGUGGAUCUGAUCAUCUCCUCUACUGCAGUAUCAGACUCUGCUCUGUACUACUGCGCUCUGGAGCCCACAGUGACAGAAACCCACCAAACACUGUACUAAAACUUUACUUGUGAAAUAUGUAGAAACACUUAUAUUUCAGGAGGGGGCGCUGUUUCUCUUCUGCUUCUUUAUCUUCAGCUUCCUCACCAUUCAGGUUAGAACAUCAGUCUGCUUUGGAACAUCAGUCAUCAUGUUGUGACCUACAGUAAACUGGAACUCUCUAUAACCCUUUAUAAAUGUUCACAGAUACUUCUGUAAAAUAUGUAAUGUCAUAUUCUUUGCACAAACAUUUAUCUCUCAUUUUUAUUUAUUUUUUUAUAGACUAUUUCGAUUAAUUACAUAAUUGAAAGAGAAAUGCAUUGUGUAAGUUGACACCACUUAAAUUUAAAAUUAACUUAUAAAAAAGGCAAUAAACUAUAUUUUGGUUACUACACCAUAUCCCUUAUUUACAUACUUAUUUUUUAUAUUCAUUUUUUUAUUAACUUUUACAAUGCAUUUCUACGUCCAAUAAAAUGAGGUGUACAAGUGGGUCAUGGAUAAAAAUAUGUAAAUGUGCAACAAUAUGUAAAUACAUAUAUUUGGUUGUAUAUAUUUUUACCAUAUUCUUACAUUCUUGUUGUAAACUUACUAGAACAAGUUUUAGUAACAGUAGCAGUGUGAAGCUUCACCACUGAUUAAAGACACACAAACAGACACGCCCACUCAAACCUGAACUGAGGUCCACCAAUCAGCUCCUUCACACAGGUAUGAAAAAACACCUGACAUCGUUAAUAGAAAAUUAAAAACUCUAACUGAACUUUUUUAUUCACUUAUUUACUUUUCUGAAGCACUUUAGAUGCACUUUUCUCAAAAGCACACUGUAUUUUUCAUGUGUCUCUCCUUUUUUAACUACUUGAAGUAGAUUUUGAAGAAUCUGUAUAAUUCAUUAAUGUGUUGUUUAUAAUUAAUUAGUGAAUUUGAAUUUCUUUUCAGUUGUUGAUGAUAUAAAAGGCUACUGUAAUAUACAGGACAUGGCACUGAAUAAUAAAAGUGUUUGUAUAAAAUCUGGAACAUGUA